UUCUGCGACUUACCACCAUAUGAAAAAGCUACAUCUGUCCACACAGAAAAUUGCAUCUCAACAAACCUGUCAUUGGUACCCGAACUACAUUUCAGUCACUCAGUAAAGUGAUAACUCAAAAUGUCAUUGUAAGCAGAUCUGGAGAAAUUGCCACUGCGUCUUUAGACCGUUUUCGUCAGACGAGACACACAGUUCUGGUUGCUGUACAUAUCUAUCCACAUCAAGGCUGUUGGGAGAGACUCGUGAAGAUUCAAGAGAGCUCUUAGAGGAUUUGCAGUUUAAAAGUGACAUUAUUGCGAAA
Long non-coding RNA from Schistocerca cancellata (South American locust), 301 nucleotides. RefSeq lists it as uncharacterized. The record is from RefSeq and is a predicted model, not a curated record. Lineage: Eukaryota; Metazoa; Arthropoda; Insecta; Orthoptera; Acrididae. The transcript is spliced from 3 exons.